UUUUCCUAUGUUUAUGAAUAAAUGUGAUUCCGCAAUAUAUUUUAAAAACAGGACACUUUCCCCUGGUUUUUAAAAUACGGGUGCGAUGAGUCACAUUUAUUGAAAAACAUAGGAA
RNAcentral lists this microRNA precursor (115 nucleotides) under Phlebotomus papatasi. The record is from RNAcentral. Lineage: Eukaryota; Metazoa; Arthropoda; Insecta; Diptera; Psychodidae.